Molecule: long non-coding RNA, 719 nt
Organism: Orbicella faveolata
Lineage: Eukaryota; Metazoa; Cnidaria; Anthozoa; Scleractinia; Merulinidae
Source: RefSeq, a predicted model, not a curated record
AUCACCUUUAACCCUAAAAACACAGGCGUUCACAGGUGAGUAAAAACGGCCUUUCACCCUUUGAUUUGGUGGUAAAGGUUUAUUCACAGAUGAUCUUUGAUUCGCGUCACAGAUCGUCAAAAGCGUGCAAAGGCGACCUUUACAAAACCUUUAACAACACAUUUGACGCGCGGUAAAGGCGAUUUUUCGUGCCGUGAUUCCCCCUCGUUCGGGUUGGCUCCCCUCCACUCUAACACCUGGAACAGGCUAGGUUUCAGUUGUUGUUUUAGUGUGACUCUGCGCCAUAUUUAACUUUUAAGACGGACUACGACCUUGAACCUGUCUUGUUUUCAGACCUUUUCACACUCUGUAGUCGUAACGUUAGUUUGUUCUUGCUAUUGUUGCCUACAAUAGAAAAAUCACCUUGAGUUCUGAUCCAUGAACUCAAUCAGUGUUUUGCUAUUAUUUCCUGUUCUGUCAUUCUUUAAGUCAUGCCGGCUUCUGCUCAAGUUUGUAUCAUUUUGUUUUUCAGAGGAAAUCAUUCGAAUAUUUUCUUAAACAUUUGGACCGUGUUGGCCAGCUGGAAUACCUGCCUACAAAAUCGGAUGCUCACUAUGCGAAAGCAGCAAAAUACCUUGGCGGCGUCACGGAGAACAAGUUGAUUUUCAACUCUCUUACGUUCAACUUUAUCCACAUUAGUGUUAUUAACAAUAUCCCAAAUUAUAGCCGCAAUUCAGCUA